UACGGGGGGGGCAAGCGUUGUUCGGAAUUACUGGGCGUAAAGGGCUCGUAGGCGGCCAACUAAGUCCGACGUGAAAUCCCAAGGCUUAACCUUGGAACUGCGUCGGAUACUGGAUGGCUUGAGUUCGGGAGAGGGAUGCAGAAUUCCAGGUGUAGCGGUGAAAUGCGUAGAUAUCUGGAGGAAUACCGGUGGCGAAGGCGGCAUCCUGGACCGACAUUGACGCUGAUGAGCGAAAGCUAGGGGAGCAAACGGG
RNAcentral lists this ribosomal RNA (253 nucleotides) under uncultured bacterium. RNAcentral's name for it is "partial 16S ribosomal RNA". It matches the Rfam family "Bacterial small subunit ribosomal RNA", at positions 524 to 776 of the family's 1533-position model. The record is from RNAcentral.